GUAGGUGAACCUGCGGAAGGAUCAUUACAGAUUGGAAUACCGUUCGGAGUCGUAAGGCUCCAAAUGGAUACAUACGUUCGGAGUCGUAAGGCUUCGUAACACAUUUACGCUUGAUUUGUUUGUCAGAGUAAGAAUAUAUAAUGAACCAUGGACAACUUUUAACAAUGGAUCUCUUGGCUCUU
This 182-nucleotide unclassified non-coding RNA is filed under the name rhizosphere metagenome. RNAcentral describes it as "partial ribosomal RNA internal transcribed spacer region". The record is from RNAcentral.